RNAcentral lists this long non-coding RNA (31072 nucleotides) under Medicago truncatula (barrel medic). Its description in RNAcentral is "long non-coding RNA (MTRU_LNC004744)". The record is from RNAcentral. Lineage: Eukaryota; Viridiplantae; Streptophyta; Magnoliopsida; Fabales; Fabaceae.
UUCGUGAAGCUGGACUAACAUUUCACCUUCUUAAAGAUGUUCCUGGGAUUGUUUCAAAGAACAUUACUAAAGCAUUGGUUGAGGCUUUUGAGCCAUUGGGAAUUUCUGAUUACAACUCAAUCUUUUGGAUUGCACAUCCCGGUGGACCUGCAAUUCUAGAUCAAGUAGAGCAAAAGUUAGCCUUGAAGCCUGAAAAGAUGAAUGCAACCAGAGAAGUGCUCAGUGAAUAUGGAAAUAUGUCAAGUGCAUGUGUUUUGUUUAUCUUGGAUGAAAUGAGAAAGAAAUCAACUCAAAACGGAUUGAAGACAACGGGAGAAGGACUUGAAUGGGGUGUAUUAUUUGGUUUUGGACCAGGACUUACCAUUGAAACCGUUGUUUUGCGCAGUGUUGCCAUAUGAGAUGCUUAAUUUUUUUUUCUUUUCUUUCAUUUAUCAAUUUUCAAUUUGUUUAAUUUUUAUGUAAGGAUGAAAUUUCAUCUAGUGUUCAAUAUAUACCAUCAUAUUAAAAUAAUACAAUUGUGAUUAGCUUUAUAUAUUAACAAUAGUUAUUUAUUUGACUAAAUAUCAUUUAUAAUAAAGAAGCAAAUCGUGUCAGCAUAUUAACGACGAUAAAGAUGAUUAUAUGUUUGAAACUUAUGAAUUAAGUUUUGUAAUGUAUUAAUGUAAUGUGUGUACUCUUCUUACUUUUAGUGUUCGAAACUAAUAGCUAGAAUUCAGCAUUUUGACUGCGGUUUAUCUUCGAAUUUAUCCGCAGGAAAUCCUGGGGAUUAUUCCUGUGGUGGCAGGAAAAUCCGAAGGUAACUAGCACUUUCCCUUACGCUUCUAACUGGGAAAAUUCCGCUGCUAUUUCUGCGGGUUUUUCUUCGGAUCUUCCUUGAGUUUCCUGCGGAUUGUUUGAAUUAUUUUUUCAUUUUUUUUCUUCAUUAAAUUUGUAAGAUUUUAAGCUUUUUAUAUUUUUAUAAUGAAAAAGUUGAAUGUAGACCAUGUUUUGAAAUUUUUUUUCUUUCUAAAUUUUUAUUUUUAUUUAUCGACGGUGUAAAAUUUUUACACCUGAUUGAGUGUUUUAAUUAAUUUUAGAUGUAAUAUUUUUUUGAAGAACUUGACAUUUAAAAUUAUUUGUGUGGGUGUUUCCUCGUUAGACUUUAAAAUAAAAUAUAACAAUCAUAAGUUACAACUCAACUAACAAAUAACCAAAUUAUUAUGUCUGAUAUUUGUGAUGUUCCAAUACGUUUUUAUUUAUGUGAGUUUGAAGUGGUAAAAUUCUGCGCAAAGAGACAUGUAAAAAAUUAUAUAUAUGCAGAACUACUUUUGCAAAUCUGUCUCUUCAACUCAUAUAUGCAGACUUUCAAAGCCCCUUACUUUGGCAAACUUUCAAUUCAAAACUGCGACAAAAAUUCUGGCUGAAAGACUUGGUAUAUAGUGGCAGGUUUUUUUUAUAUUUGUGACAACUGGUGCACCUACUCCUAUGCAUGUUACAAAAAGAAUGACACUCCCAAGUAAUUAUUUUUAUGCUACAAAUGAUGUGUUCAUUUUCUAUAAAGGGACCAAAGCUAACAUGUUGUGCAUUUGAAAAUCUUCAGAAUAUAUUUGGCAUAGGUAAUCUUCCAUUCAUAUAUUUGGCUGUUCCUAUUUGCAAAUUGUAACUAGACAAAAGGUACAUUUUUGGACAGAUAGAUGGCUAUCUGACCCUCUUGUGGAGUUACUCAACAUCCCUCCUUAGUUGCAUGCAUAUUGUUUGCACAUUCAAAUUAUAUAUCCUAGGGACAAAGGAAUUUCAAUGAAAAGUUAUCUUUUAUUUUUGAUUAAAUUUUGCAAACUUCUUUGUCUUAAGGAUGCCACCUUAGAUCAUCUUCAUUAGACAACCUCCUUGAAAAGUUUGACCAAUGAAUGAUAAUGGACGUCUCUAGUUGAACUUAAAAGUUAGUAAAAGAUUUGACUAAUAGUUCACUCUCAUUUUGUUCAAGGAUUACACUCAGAAGAAAUUUUGUCUCCUGAUCACUAUAAGGUAAAUUUUCGUAGCUAAAUGUUCUAAGGACAUUGACUGACGACCGCAUUUACCGUGUAUUAUUUUCAACGACUGGCAACGAAAAUGUCCCGUCUAUCAUUGUCAAAUGACUGUCACUAUAUGUUUCCACCUUUACCUAUGGAAAAACCGUAGGUAAUACUAAAGAUACCCGUUUUUAAGGACCUAUACUUACAUUUGCGGCUGUCACUAAAACUUAUUAUUGUUUUAUUAAUUUUUUUUAUAUUUUCUAUUCUACUAUAAAUUCUGAAAAUAAAAAUUUCAUAAAAUUACCACUAAAAUAAGUUUAAUCAAUAUAAUAAAAUAUUAUAAUCAAUAUCAUUGAAAUUUGAAAUUGAUUACUAUAAUCAAUUUUUAGAAUAAUUUCUUGAAGUGGUUUAACUAGAAUAAUUCUCGCUAAUUAUUAACUAUUAUAUCAUUCACCCAAACCACAUAAAUCAAAAUCUACAUAUUCUCCAUUGCUCAUUUAAUUUAUGGUGACAAAAUUUGAAUCAGUGUUCAUAAUAGCUUAUCGGACAAAAUGACAUACUAUCAAGUUACAACUUACAAUCACUUAUUCUUCUUCUUUUUUAUUGUCCAACUAAGUUGGUACACUACUCUAAUUGUUUGCAAAUCUGGGAGACAUAAAAUCUAACCCAGUCAAUCCAUCCCUAACCGGUAAACCAUCAAAAAAAGAUCAAUGAUGUAGAUCCAACCCUAAUCAAUUCUAACAAACAAACACCAUUGACGAUAUACAUUUGUGAGUACCAAGCGGGUCUAUAUUUUGGCGAAUGAAUCGAUCGUCAACACGAAAUCAGAUCACGUAUCAUCAACUCCCUGCCAACAACAUCAAGCAUUAACGACUCUUUCGAGUCCACACAGCCACUUCUACAAUCACUUCAUACCUAAAAAAAAAACUUACAUCCACUUCUACAACAAGACAUAAUAAAUCAGAUUUUAACUUCUAAUUUGUGGAUCUUCAGCAAAUCACACUUGGAGAAGCUAAACCUGUCAAUGAUUCUGCAUAACCUCCACUUCACUUCAUCAAUAUAUGUAAUCAACACAUAAUGAACAAUAUAUAUAAAAGUAGAAAUGAACUCAAAUCACUCAACUCAUUGUUAACCAACAUUAUUCAUUAAUGAAGUCAUCUUCAAAAAUAGCGGGUGUACCAAAGCUAUUACCAUCAUCAACAAAAGUUGGAAGUCCACCGGUUGUCAAAUCCUGUCAAUAAGCUAGUAAAAUAAUCUUACAAGCUCGUGAGAAAGAAGUGUUACCAAACAAGUCUAUUUUGCUCAUAUGAACUUAUAAUCUAUGCUAUCCGCUAAAAACUCAAAAACUGACCUCACCAAACAACGCCUAAAAUAUGUCAUAAGUUAUAAACAUGUCAUAAGUUGUUUUUUUUAAGUUCUCCCAAACAGUCUCAUAAGUGCUUAUGCUAGUAGAUUAGCUCAAAUAGUGGUAGGUGGAUCAGCAAUAGCUUUGGAAGUCCUAGUGGAAGACGAUCGUAAAGAUGACAUGUUAUUCAAAACUUUCAGUUUAUUCAUCAACGGUUUUAUUUCUAUGACAUAAAAAGUAAGUAUAUAAUCAACUUAACUAAAACAAAAAUCGAAAUCAACAACAUUACAAGUAGUAAAACAGAGAUCAGUAACUAACCUUGAAAGAAGGUACUGGGAGCAACAAAAUCAAACCUAAAAAUAUAGCAUAACACAGUUAAUUAAUCGUAAAUUGGUAAUGGUGGUUGCGAUCGACGAGUGUUGAGUACAUGAGAGUAUCGAGAACGAUGAUAACGAGACGGUUAAUUGAAGGUUUGGUCCAACAUGAAUUGUUAUUGGGAAGAACAACAAAUAGAUAGAUGAUCACACCAAACUUCUAAUAAAAAGAACAAAUACUAAAUGAAUGGAAACAUUUUCCCUGACAAAAUAUAAUGAAUGACAUGGAACACUUAAAAAGAACACAAGAUAUCAAAAUUGACUUUAAUUUGUUUCAAAGACAUAUUGGCACAAACAAAUAUAGGAUUGUACAUGGUAUUUGCACAUCAACAUGUUUGCUGCUAUAUUCAGAAUCUGUUAUGCAGAUUUCUACUUCAUCCUUACAUAAAAGUUAAACAAAUUUGAAAUCAAUGAAAAUAAAAUAAUUAAACAUCUCAUAUGGCCACACUACGUAAAACAACAGUUUCAAUGGUAAGUCCUGGUCCAAAACCAAAUAAGACACCCCAUUCAAGUCCUUCUCCAGUUGUCUUCAAUCCGUCUAUGGUUGAUUUCUUUCUCAUUUCAUCUAAGAUAAACAAAACACAUGCACUUGACAUAUUUCCAUAUUCACUGAGCACUUCUCUAGUUGCAUUCAUCUUUUCAGGCUUUAAGGCUAACUUUUGCUCCACUUGAUCUAGAAUUGCAGGUCCACCGGGAUGUGCAAUCCAAAAGAUUGAGUUGUAAUCAGAAAUUCCCAAUGGCUCGAAAGCCUCAACCAAUGCUUUAGUGAUGUUCUUUGAAACAAUCCCAGGAACAUCUUUAAGAAGGUGAAAUGUUAGUCCAGCUUCACGAAGGUGGCCAUCAAUGGCUCCUUCACUAUCCGGAGCAAUUGUUUGUGCAGUCCAAACCAUCUCAAAUAUAGGUUUCUCAAUUUCUGGUACUGGGUCAGAACCAACAAUAAGAGCAGCAGCUCCAUCUCCAAACAGUGCUUGCCCAACAAGGCUGUCCAAGUGAGUAUCACUGGGGCCACGGAAUGUGACAGCGGUGACUUCAGAACAAACAACCAACACACGAGCACCUUUGUUGUUCUCAGCCAAAUCUUUGGCCAAACGAAGCACCGUGCCACCUGCAAAACACCCUUGUUGGUACAUCAUAUACCUUUUCACAUAUGGACGAAGACCCAAGAGUUUUGUGAGUUGAUAAUCGGCUCCAGGCAUGUCUACACCACUUGUGGUGCAAACGAUUAAGUGAGUAAUCUUUGACUUUGGUUGACCCCAUUCUUUUAUAGCCUUCACUGCAGCCUCCUUUCCUAGUCUAGGUACCUCUACCACCACCAUGUCUUGCCUAGCAUCCAAUGAAGGGGCCAUGUAUUCACAAACACUUGGAUUUUCUUUCAAAAUUUCUUCUGUUAGAUACAUGUAUCUCCUCUUGAUCAUGGAUUUAUCACCUGAAGUAGUUAUAAUGGAAUGACAUUAGCACAUCAGUUUUUGGGUAAUAUAUACCAAAACCAAUCACAUAAUGACCAAGAUAAAUGUAAACGAAAAGUAUCUAAAAAUAUUUUUAUACUCAAGUUUAUCAAAAUAAUAAAUAGAGGAGAAGAAUACUUACACAUGCGCUGAAAUUUCUCUUUGAGUUCAGUUUUGUGUUCACUAUUUGUAAUUUUAAAGUAAAAAUCAGGAUAAGUGCUUUGUUCAACACAAUUUGCUGGAUUUGCAGUGCCAAUGGCUAAGAUAGUUGCAGGACCUUCUGCCCUUUGAGCUUUACGAAUUUCAGACACACUCACCAUUUUGAUAUCUUUGGUAUCAAAUAAAAAUAAAAUGUAGUACUGAAAUUUGAAGACAAUGAGGUUUAGUGCUUGUUGUAGAAAAGAAAAGGGUUGAAGUGUGUUGUGGUGCAGAAAUGUUUGGGAUGAGAUGGUUUUUAUAUGAAGAGAGUAGUGUGCAUAUUGGAGGGUAGCUGAACAUAACAUCACGUGUUUGACUAAAACUCUUAACAUCAUGCAAAUUUUAUUUUAUAUUCAAUAUAAACGUCGGGUACCAAUAAUAUAUAUAAUGGCUGGCUGGCUGCUUUGUCCAUACUUGACCCUGUUGGUGUUUGGUGGGAAAUACCCCGCAUUUCUUUGAAGAGAGAGACUACCAACAAUCUUUUAUUUGAUUUGAUUUGAUUAAGUUAGAUUGGAGAAGUCUCUUUUCUGUGUGAUUGAGUGAUAAAAGUCUAUUUCUUGUAUGAGAGCAAUAUAAGUCUCUUGAGCAAAUUGUAAUAUAUGAGAUUUAUAGUGAACAUCCCUUAGAAGUGCAAGGGGACUGGACUACUCUCGAUUUGUGGGAGGAACUAGUAUAAUUGUUUUCUGUCUUCUCUCUAUGUGUUUGAUUUCAUUUCGCUGCAUUCAACUGUUUCAUUGAACAAAACUCUGUUUUGCUUCAGACUCUGAACUAGUUUUUACAAACACUUAGGAGAUUUUGAAAAAACCAACACAAUUCAACUCACUUUUCCUAUAAUUUUCUCACCUUCAGUUGGCAUCAAAGCGUAUGGCUUGUUGCUUUGCACUUAACUGUGUCAUAGAAAAGAUCAUGAGAAAAACAUGUCUGCAAAAUCUAGUUCAAAUGUUUUUGGUAAUGUUGAUAAUCAUGUUGUUCGUCAUGAUUACAACAAUAAUGCGUCCGCCUCUGAUAAAAAUUCAUAUUCUGCCAGACCUUCGAUCUUCAAUGGAGAUGCUGCACAAUUUUCAUGGUGGAAAAGUAAAAUGUAUAAUCACAUCAUCGGUCUUGAUGAUGAGUUGUGGGACAUCACGGAGAAUUAAUGGUGUCAAAGCUCAACUUCAUCCUCUUUAGACAUUAGACAUGUGGAAGAGUUAGAAGUUUCUUGAGGUACCCACAAGUAACAAUUGUCCUUAGACCUUACUCCUCUCAUCAGAACAUCAUUCUUUUCAUCAGUAAUGAAGCACUCUGACUUGGUAAGUUUACUUUUAAUCCUUGAUCACACAAUUGGCUGAUGCUGAUCAAAUUAGUUGUCAAACCUUUUACCAAAAGAACAUCAUCAAGUCUGGGAAGUCUAGUACAAAACAGCUUUUCAACUCCCUUGAUUUCACCUUUAGCUCCAUCACCAAAAGUGAUAAAACUGGUGGAAUACGAGUUAAUGUCCACUAGAUACUUCUUGACCCUAGUCAUGUGUUUAGAACAUCCACUUUCAAAAUAUCAGUUUUCUCUAGACGAUACUCUAAGAGAUGUCUCGGCAAUGAGACUAGUAUUGACAACCUUCGGUUUCCACUCUUUUCUAGUCUUACUCAUCACAUGGUUAUCUAUGGGUUGUGUAGGAUAUUUAUGGUAGCCAUACAAUCUAAAACAGCAUGAUUUUUUAUGACCAUAUCUACCAUAAUAAUGACACUUCCAAGGUAAGAAUUUCGCUUUGUAUGGAUGUUUGUAAGGAUGUUGGGACAUUUUGCCUGACAUUGUGGUUUCAUACUCUUUUUCAGAAGGAAUAAAUUUUGUAACAGGAAUUUUUCCUUGUUUAUUUAAAGAUUGAUAAUUAAAUCAUAUUCCUUUUACAUUGCCAGCCCUUUUUCCUAGUAGAAGAAUUUCAUCUAGCAUAUUAAACCCAUUGUUCAAUAUUCUUAUAGAUUUGGUCAUGUUCUCAAGUUUGGAAGACACCAGAUUUACCUCAUUUUGAAUAUCAAGGAUAGUAGAAAGUAAUUUUACCUUUUCAGCCUGCAGUUAGCUAUGGUUCUCUUCUGGUUUAUACCUCUUCACUUCUAGCAUAAACUCUUUGUAGGAAUCAGCCAAUUCCUCGUAGGAAACAUCCUCAUCACAAGAGUCUACAUCUGAUUCACAUCUUGUAGUGAGGGUUGUGACAUGCUUUUCAGUUUCACCAUCUGAUUCUCCUUCAGACCCAUCAUCAUCAGACCAGGAGACAAAAUAACCUUUCUUUUGUCUCUUGAGAUACGUAGUGCAUUUAUAACAAAUGUGACCAAAUCCUUCACAACAAUUACACUGAACUCCUUUUCCUUGGUUGGGUUGUUCUUCAGUUUUAACCUUCUACUGAGAGUCACUGUUUUUGCUGAUGUCGAAUGGGAUGUUCUUGACAUUAGGUCUAGGUCUUCUAUACAUUCUCUAUAAAACCAUAUUGAAUUGUCUCCCAAGAAGCACAAUAGCAUUAGAAAUACCUUCAUCAGUUUCCAGAUCAUAUUGAACUUGUUCAUCAUUUGUGUUGGAGAUAAAAACAAUGAUCUUGUUUUUCUUUUCCGGCAUGUCACUAAUAGUCAUUUUCGGAUGAAAUAUAGUUUAAUUGUUUAAGCUGUUUAAUAAGGACAAAAAUGUUCUGAAGAAUGAUUAUAUAAUUAAUAUAUAAGUAGAAUGAGAAAAAUGAUAUUAACCUGAAAUGUAAAGACUAUUUUAACUAGGACCAGAAUAUUUCGGAUAGUGAUUAAUAUAAAAGUAGAAUGAUCAAGAAAUAAUAUAUUGUUGACUUUCAGCGUGAGUUUGUCUUUAGAUAUUAAGCACUUAUUUUAUCUUGGACCAAAAUGUUAUGGAUGCAGUUGUAUAGUUAAUAUUGAAUGAAAUAAUAAAACAAUAUUAAUGAUUAUAUUUCGGAUCAGAGAACUCUGGAUUAAUUUGAUUGUGUUUAAUUAGGACCAAAAUAUUCUUUAAUAGAUUAAUAACAACUAUUAUAAUCGUGAUAAUGUGUGUAAAGUGUGACCUAAAUAAUAAGAGAAAGGGAAGAAAGAAUAACACAAGAGAUUUCCCAUGGUCACUUCUGAUCUUGACAAUAACAGUUUCCUUCUCUCUUUAAAGUCUUUGACAAAGAUCUUUAAAAACCUCAAAAGUAUCAGAUUUUUCUUUGAUAAAGUUCACCCAAGUAAAUCUUGAGAAAUUAUCAACAAUGACAUAUUCAUAUCUUUUUCCACCAAGACUUUCAACUUGCAUAGGCUCCAUCAGAUCCAUAUGAAGAAGUUCAAGUACUUUGGAAGUGGUCUAAUGUUGUAACUUUGGAUGUGACAUCAUGGUUUGUUUCCCAAUUUGACAUUCACCACAUACUUUUCCUUCUUCAAUUUUACACUUUGGUAAACCUCUAAUAGCCUCUUCAGAAAUAGUCUUCUUCAUACCCUUAAGCUUCAGAUGACCAAGCUUCUGGUGUCAAAGCUCAACUUCAUCCUCUUUAGACAUUAGACAUGUGGAAGAGUUAGAAGUUUCUUGAGGUACCCACAACUAACAAUUGUCCUUAGACCUUACUCCUCUCAUUAGAACAUCAUUCUUUUCAUCAGUAAUUAAGCACUCUGACUUGGUAAGUUUACUUUUAGUCCUUGAUCACACAAUUGACUGAUGCUGAUCAAAUUAGGUAUCAAACCUUUUACCAAAAGAACAUCAUCAAGUCUGGGAAGUCCAGUACAAAACAGCUUUUCAACUCCCUUGAUUUCACCUUUAGCUCCAUCACCAAAAGUGAUAAAACUGGUGGAAUACGAGUUAAUGUCCACUAGAUACUUCUUGACCCUAGUCAUGUGUGUAGAACAUCCACUUUCAAAAUAUCAGUUUUCUCUAGACGAUACUCUAAGAGAUGUCUGGGCAAUGAGACUAGUAUUGACAACCUUCGGUUUCCACUCUUUUCUAGUUUUACUCAUCACAUGGUUAUUGUAACGCCCUCUUUGAAUUAUUUGUUUUAUUUGAUUAUUUUUAAUGAGUUUAGAAUAUAUUUAAAUGAUUAUGUGAUUUAUUAAGUAGCUUAUUUUAGUAUUUAAUAGAAUAAGAUUUGAAAAUAAAAUAAAUAUUGAGAUGUGAGGCUGUUUUGGAAUUUAGAGGAGUUUAGUGGAAAUAGAGGAAAUAAGAAAAAUAGAAUGAGGAGAGAUAUAAGAAGAAAACUAGGUUUAGAAACGUUUUUACGUGAAAUUGCUUUUUGGAGAAAAAGGGAGAAAACAAGAGAAGAGGAGAACCAAGAGAGAGAAGCCGCCGAUCAUUCAUUCUAAGGUAAGGGUGGGACUAACAUUCAAUAAUCUUGAGUCUAUGAUUCUGAAAAUUGUAUUUAACAUGUUGUAGGUUUAGUUUUUGAGAAUUUGAGAAUUAGGGUUAAGAGUGAUGAUUGUGAUGAUUUUGAAUGAAAGUGUAGGAUUGAAUUAGAGAAGUUGGGAAUUAGGGUUAGAAUGUAGAAUUGAAUUGUGGAAAGAAGUAGAUAAUCUGAUGGAUUAGGGUGAUAAAGGAUGUUUAGAUUGUAGAUUAAUCACAGACUAAGUUUCCAAUCAGUAUUGGGGUUUGAGUCGAUGGAAAUUGCGAUAUUUUGUGGCUAUUUUCUAUUCCUUUACGUAUUGUUUAUAUUUUAAUAAGGCAUGCGUGCCAAAGACUUAUUUAUGUUAAUGAAUUUAAUCCGCUGCAAAGUUUGAAUUAAUAUGUUGAUGAUUUUUGGAAAGAUAAUUAGUUAAUUACCUCAUUUAUGAUUUUUAAGAAGUGUGAUAUCCUGUUUAUGUGAUGUUUUACUCUGAUUAUUUUAUGAAAUUUUUAUGUUGGGAAAACGGGGUGUUACAAUUGGUAUCAGAGCAGGUCGGUCCGUCUGGCCAAGUAGUUGAGUCGAGUUGUGUCGAGUAACAGUUGUAUUAUUAUCUUUAUGCUGUUUGAUUACUUGUUGUUGUGUUUCUGAUUAAUGGUUAUGUUUAUUAUGUGAUCAUGUUUGAUUGACUAACUUUAAUGUGGUUUAUAUGUUUUGUUUGAGGUUUCUAUUUGGCUAUAUAUUGUUUAAGAUAUUUAGGCAAUGAUUGAAUUCUUUUCUUGUGUGCUUUGAAUUUCGAGGACGAAAUUCUUUUAAGGGGGGUAGAGUUGUAACGCCCUCUUUGAAUUAUUUGUUUUAUUUGAUUAUUUUUAAUGAGUUUAGAAUAUAUUUAAAUGAUUAUGUGAUUUAUUAAGUGGCUUAUUUUAGUAUUUAAUAGAAUAAGAUUUGAAAAUAAAAUAAAUAUUGAGAUGUGAGGCUAUUUUGGAAUUUAGAGGAGUUUAGUGGAAAUAGAGGAAAUAAGAAAAAUAGAAUGAGGAGAGAUAUAUGAAGAAAAUUAGGUUUAGAAACGUUUUUACGUGAAAUUGCUUUUUGGAGAAAAAGGGAGAAAACAAGAGAAGAGGAGAACCAAGAGAGAGAAGCCGCCGAUCAUUCAUUCUAAGGUAAGGGUGGGACUAACAUUCAAUAAUCUUGAGUCUAUGAUUCUGAAAAUUGUAAUUAACAUGUUGUAGGUUUAGUUUUUGAGAAUUUGAGAAUUAGGGUUAAGAGUGAUGAUUGUGAUGAUUUUGAAUGAAAGUGUAGGAUUGAAUUAGAGAAGUUGGGAAUUAGGGUUAGAAUGUAGAAUUGAAUUGUGGAAAGAAGUAGAUAAUCUGAUGGAUUAGGGUGAUAAAGGAUGUUUAGAUUGUAGAUUAAUCACAGACUAAGUUUCCAAUCAGUCUUGGGGUUUGAGUCGAUGGAAAUUGGGAUAUUUUGUGGCUAUUUUCUAUUCAUUUACGUAUUGUUUAUAUUUUAAUAAGGCCUGCGUGCCAAAGACUUAUUUAUGUUAAUGAAUUUAAUCCGCUGCAAAGUUUGAAUUAAUAUGUUGAUGAUUUUUGAAAAGAUAAUUAGUUAAUUACCUCAUUUAUGAUUUUUAAGAAGUGUGAUAUCCCGUUUAUGUGAUGUUUUACUCUGAUUAUUUUAUGAAAUUUUUAUGUUGGGAAAACGGGGUGUUACAAUUGGUAUCAGAGCAGGUCGGUCCGUCUGGCCAAGUAGUUGAGUCGAGUUGUGUCGAGUAACAGUUGUAUUAUUAUCUUUAUGCUGUUUGAUUACUUGUUGUUGUGUUUCUGAUUAAUGGUUAUGUUUAUUAUGUGAUCAUGUUUGAUUGACUAACUUUAAUGUGGUUUAUAUGUUUUGUUUGAGGUUUCUAUUUGGCUAUAUAUUGUUUAAGAUAUUUAGGCAAUGAUUGAAUUCUUUUCUUGUGUGCUUUGAAUUUCGAGGACGAAAUUCUUUUAAGGGGGGUAGAGUUGUAACGCCCUCUUUGAAUUAUUUGUUUUAUUUGAUUAUUUUUAAUGAGUUUAGAAUAUAUUUAAAUGAUUAUGUGAUUUAUUAAGUGGCUUAUUUUAGUAUUUAAUAGAAUAAGAUUUGAAAAUAAAAUAAAUAUUGAGAUGUGAGGCUAUUUUGGAAUUUAGAGGAGUUUAGUGGAAAUAGAGGAAAUAAGAAAAAUAGAAUGAGGAGAGAUAUAUGAAGAAAAUUAGGUUUAGAAACGUUUUUACGUGAAAUUGCUUUUUGGAGAAAAAGGGAGAAAACAAGAGAAGAGGAGAACCAAGAGAGAGAAGCCGCCGAUCAUUCAUUCUAAGGUAAGGGUGGGACUAACAUUCAAUAAUCUUGAGUCUAUGAUUCUGAAAAUUGUAAUUAACAUGUUGUAGGUUUAGUUUUUGAGAAUUUGAGAAUUAGGGUUAAGAGUGAUGAUUGUGAUGAUUUUGAAUGAAAGUGUAGGAUUGAAUUAGAGAAGUUGGGAAUUAGGGUUAGAAUGUAGAAUUGAAUUGUGGAAAGAAGUAGAUAAUCUGAUGGAUUAGGGUGAUAAAGGAUGUUUAGAUUGUAGAUUAAUCACAGACUAAGUUUCCAAUCAGUCUUGGGGUUUGAGUCGAUGGAAAUUGGGAUAUUUUGUGGCUAUUUUCUAUUCAUUUACGUAUUGUUUAUAUUUUAAUAAGGCCUGCGUGCCAAAGACUUAUUUAUGUUAAUGAAUUUAAUCCGCUGCAAAGUUUGAAUUAAUAUGUUGAUGAUUUUUGAAAAGAUAAUUAGUUAAUUACCUCAUUUAUGAUUUUUAAGAAGUGUGAUAUCCCGUUUAUGUGAUGUUUUACUCUGAUUAUUUUAUGAAAUUUUUAUGUUGGGAAAACUGGGUGUUACAGUUAUCUAUGGGUUGUGUAGGAUGUUUAUGGUAGCCAUACAAUCUAAAACAGCAUGAUUUUUUAUGACCAUAUCUACCAUAAUAAUGACACUUCCAAGGUAAGAAUUUCGCUUUGUAUGGAUGUUUGUAAGGAUGUUGGGACAUUUUUCCUGACAUUGUGGUUUCAUACUCUUUUUCAGAAGGAAUAAAUUUUGUAACAGGAAUUUUUCCUUGUUUAUUUAAAGAUUGAUAAUUAAAUCAUAUUCCUUUUACAUUGCCAGCCCUUUUUCCUAGUAGAAGAAUUUCAUCUAGCAUAUUAAACCCAUUGUUCAAUAUUCUAAUAGAUUUGGUCAUGUUCUCAAGUUUGGAAGACACCAGAUUUACCUCAUUUUGAAUAUCAAGGAUAGUAGAAAGUAAUUUUACCUUUUCAGCAUGCAGUUAGCUAUGGUUCUCUUCUGGUUUAUACCUCUUCACUUCUAGCACAAACUCUUUGUAGGAAUCAGCCAAUUCCUCAUAGGAAACAUCCUCAUCACAAGAGUCUACAUCUGAUUCACAUCUUGUAGUGAGGGUUGUGACAUGCUUUUCAGUUUCACCAUCUGGUUCUCCUUCAGACUCAUCAUCAUCAGACCAGGAGACAAAAUAACCUUUCUUUUGUCUCUUGAGAUACGUAGUGCAUUUAUAACAAAUGUGACCAAAUCCUUCACAACAAUUACACUGAACUCCUUUUCCUUGGUUGGGUUGUUCUUCAGUUUUAGCCUUCUGCUGAGAGUCACUGUUUUUGCUGAUGUCGAAUGGGAUGUUCUUGACAUUAGGUCUAGGUCUUCUAUACAUUUUCUAUAAAACCAUAUUGAAUUGUCUCCUAAGAAGCACAAUAGCAUUAGAAAUACCUUCAUCAGUUUCCAGGUCAUAUUGAACUUGUUCAUCAUUUGUGUUGGAGAUAAAAACAAUGAUCUUGUUCUUCUUUUCUGGCAUGUCACUAAUAGUCAUUUCAAAAGUUUGAAGUGACCCAAUAAACUCUUUAACCUUCAUGUUUUUAAUGUCUUGGGUUUCUUCAAUGGCAGUCACCUUCAUAUCGAAUUUUUUAGGUAAAGAUCUGAGAAUUUAUCUGACCAACUUUUCUUUUGUCAUCUUUUCUCCUAGAGCACUAGAAGCAUUGACAAUGUCAAGAAUGUUCACGUGAAGGUGCUGGAUAGAUUCAUCAUCUUUCAUCCUAAGAUUUUCAAACUUGGUGGUUAGAAAUUGCAGCUUUGACAUCCUCACUUUAGAUGUGCCUUCAUGAGUAGUUCUCAAGAUAUCCAAAGCAUUAUUGACCACAGUACAAUUAUUUAUUAACCUGAACAUAUUCUUAUCCACCCCACUGAACAAUGCGUUCAAGGCUUUGGAGUUUCUAAGAGCAAGUUCAUAUUCAUCCUUAACCACUCUUCUUCGGGUUUUAACUUAGUAGUGUCAUUUCCAUCUUUGUCCUUUACCAAUGGAUGUUCCCAACCUUUGAGAACUGUGUUCCAGGUUUUGCUGUCAAUAGAUUUAAGGAAUGCAACCAUGUGCACUUUCUAGUAGACAUAGUUGGACCAUUCCAAAACAGGUGGUUUGUUAACUUGUCAUCCUUCCUUUUCCAUAGUAUCAGAAAAUAUCUUACAUGGAGGUCACCCAUAAACAGAACAGGGUGCCUGCUCUGAUGCCAAUUGAAAUUAUUGCAUGUAAAGAAAGAUGUCGAACAUGAUGUCAGAACAAGCAGAAUGUCGAGAAGGAUGUCAAGACAUUGUGACAACAUAAGAUAACAAAUAACAACUUAAAGAUAAAAGCUGAAAGUAAAUGGCACAAGUUAUUCGUUAACCCAGUUUGGUACAACAUCGCCUAGAUCUAGGGGCUACCAAGCCAGGAAGGAAAUCCACUAUAAUAGUAUUAUUUUGAAGCAUGCAUAAACAACCUCAAGAUUACUAGCUUCGCACCUAAUCACUACCCGUGAAAUUUCUAUCUAAGAAUCGCCUAGAUACGAGACCCCUCUCACUUCCCCUCAAUUACUCACCGGUGAUAACAACAAGAACAAUAGAAAUGGAGACACGCUCCGUGAAACAGAAUCUACUCUUUCUUAAAAGCUUAUAAGUGAUUCACAACUUACAACUCAACUACAUGUCCAACUCAAGCAUCAAGGUGAUACGUGAGUGGCUCACAAAAAACAAAGGACAGACUAAAACUCUAAUUGACUCUUUUGUAAAUGACGGCUUCAAUGGUCUUCUUAGGUCUUGAGUCUUCCUUUAUAUAACCUGAAUACAUAAUGGGCUUAAUGAGCAAAUUGGGCUAAACACACAGUUGAUCCAAUGGGGUACUUAACAUAAUAUUCUUGAAGCAUAUAUAUUGUUUCCUUAAAUGUUACAACAUCACACUUAAGAAACACAACAAGCUUAAAUCGCCUAUCACUGCUUCUAGAAAACACACGCUUCUUGGUCAACACUCCAUGUGAAUAAAAUUUUCAUUGAAUCUUCAGAGAUCUCACGCAUAAAAUAAAACUUAUAAGAAAGCGAAACAAGGUACGCAAGGAUGUCUUACCAACAUGUCAAGACAUCUUGUCCAACAUCUUGCUAGAACACUUGUUUUAAGAAAAUGCGGCCAACUAUAGUCUACAAACCUAACAAUUAUUUCACCACAAGAUUCAUGAAAGUAGAGGAAAAUUAUGCAACUUAUAACCACACAAUUGCUCAUAAAUUCCAUACGGUGAAAAUAAUAUUCCCCCUUACCUCUUAUCUUCCAAAGCUAGCUCCUACAAUCUUGAAUCUCCCUCUCCCCUUUGAUUUUUCAAGCUCUCAUCUUCUUUCUCUCUAGAUCCCUUUUUCUUCUCAAUCCCUUGCCUCUAUUCUCUCUCCUUGCCUCUUUCUCAAAACUUAACAAAUGAUUUUCUAAUCCAAAAUCAUGAAAACUACCAUUUAUUUAUAUUCACUUGUUUUGGGUUUAGUUCUCUUAACUUUUAUUGGGCUUAGUCUCUAUUCAUUCCUCAUAAAAAUAAUAUUACACAUUUAUUUCACUUAAACCGCUCUUUUACUCCUACACCUCUAUUCAUUUAAUUCCUAAAAGUUACUACUAAAUUCACAAAAAUACCCUCCAUUCCUAAAUUACCAAAAUACCCCUUUACCCUUGAAUCUCUAAUAAAAAUCAACUAACACAUCAAUUAAACAAUUAAAUUUUAAAUAAUUAAAAUAAUAAUAAACUAAAAAUCAGGAUGUUACACCUUCUAUCAGUGAGUGAUGAAAAAUGGCUUUGGCAUAAGCGUUUAAGACAUUAUGGUUGAAGAUUAAUCUCUAAACUCAUCAAGUUAAAACUUGUCAAAGAUCUGUCAAAAUUAAAAUAUCACUUAAAUGCUCUCUGUGGAGCAUGGCAAAAAGGGAAGAUUGCUAAAACUUCUUUCAAAACAAAGAAUAUUGUUUCAACCUCUAGUCCCUGGAAACUUCUUCACGUUGAUCAUUUUAGACUAAUAAGUACUACAUCCAUCAAUGGGAAGAAAUAUAGAUUAUUCAUAGUUGAUGAUUGCAGUAGAUGGAUUUGAGUCAACUUCCUCGAAACUAAAGAUGAAGCAUAUGAUGUGUUUAGUAACUUCUGCACUUGGGUACAAAAUGAAAAGAAUUGAAAAUUCUAAAAGUCAUAAGUAAUCAUGGUCGAAAAUUUGAAAAUGAGUCAUUUGAUUUUUUUUGUGAAAAACAUGGAAUUCUCCCUGAAUUCUUGUAUCCUAGAACUCCACACAAAUUAUAGAUUUAUAAAGAGAAAGAAUAUGUCUUUACAAAAUAUAAUUAGAACCAUGAUUCACGAAACUGAUAUGACUACGUUUGGGCAGAAGUUGUAAACAUAUCAUGUUAUGUUCAGAAUAGAAUCUAUAUCAAACCUAUAGUAAACAAAACAUCAUAUGAACUCUUCAAAGGAAGAAGAUCAAACAUAUCUUAUUUUUAUAAAUUUGGAUGUACAUGUUACAUCUUGAACAACAAAGUCUAUCUAAAGAAAUUUGAUGUCAAAGCUCAGAACGGUAUUUUAUUAGGAUACUUUGAAUGCUCAAAGAUAUACAAAGUGUAUAAUUUUAAACUAAUACAGUUGAAAUUGGAAGGAGAACUACUAAACCACAAUAGGACAAAACAUAAUCGGCCAAAAUAAAAAUAAGGAGUCAAAUCGCACAAUCGCGAUAUUUAAAGACUAAAAAAUACAAUACAUUUGGGUUGGUCUAAUGGUGACGUAGGACUUUGGAAUACACUCCUCUCAAUAUCUCAUAUUAGAGUCUCUCUAAUGUUAAUGUCGGUGGAAUAAUUUGGGUUCUUAUAGAAGGAAAAAAAAAAAAACUAAAAAGUGCAAUUAAGCUAAUGAGAUAUUUGACAAUUAGUUUAUGAAAGAAAUGAAAAAAGGGUUGGACAAAAGAGGAUCUUCAAAGACACGCGGGGUAUUUCCCACCAAACUCCAACAGGGUCAAGUAAUGGACAAAGCAGCCAGCCAGCCAGCCAUUAUAUGUAUUAUUGGUACCCGACGUUUAUAUUGAAUAUAAAAUAAAAUUUGCAUGAUGUUAAGAGUUUUAGUCAAACACAUGAUGUUCAGCUACCCUCCAAUAUGCACACUACUCUCUUCAUAUAAAAACCAUCUCAUCCCAAACAUUUCUGCACCACAACACACUUCAACCCUUUUCUUUUCUACAACAAGCACUAAACCUCAUUGUCUUCAAAUUUCAGUACUACAUUUUAUUUUUAUUUGAUACCAAAGAUAUCAAAAUGGUGAGUGUGUCUGAAAUUCGUAAAGCUCAAAGGGCAGAAGGUCCUGCAACUAUCUUAGCCAUUGGCACUGCAAAUCCAGCAAAUUGUGUUGAACAAAGCACUUAUCCUGAUUUUUACUUUAAAAUUACAAAUAGUGAACACAAAACUGAACUCAAAGAGAAAUUUCAGCGCAUGUGUAAGUAUUCUUCUCCUCUAUUUAUUAUUUUGAUAAACUUGAGUAUAAAAAUAUUUUUAGAUACUUUUCGUUUACAUUUAUCUUGGUCAUUAUGUGAUUGGUUUUGGUAUAUAUUACCCAAAAACUGAUGUGCUAAUGUCAUUCCAUUAUAACUACUUCAGGUGAUAAAUCCAUGAUCAAGAGGAGAUACAUGUAUCUAACAGAAGAAAUUUUGAAAGAAAAUCCUAGUGUUUGUGAAUACAUGGCCCCUUCAUUGGAUGCUAGGCAAGACAUGGUGGUGGUAGAGGUACCUAGACUAGGAAAGGAGGCUGCAGUGAAGGCUAUAAAAGAAUGGGGUCAACCAAAGUCAAAGAUUACUCACUUAAUCGUUUGCACCACAAGUGGUGUAGACAUGCCCGAAGCUGAUUAUCAACUCACCAAACUCUUGGGUCUUCGCCCAUAUGUGAAAAGGUACAUGAUGUACCAACAAGGGUGUUUUGCAGGUGGCACGGUGCUUCGUUUGGCCAAAGAUCUAGCUGAGAACAACAAAGGUGCUCGUGUGUUGGUUGUAUGUUCAGAGGUCACCGCUGUCACAUUUCGUGGCCCUAGUGAUACUCACUUGGACAGUCUUGUUGGACAAGCACUAUUUGGAGAUGGAGCUGCUGCUCUUAUUGUUGGCUCUGACCCCGUACCAGAAAUUGAGAAACCUAUAUUUGAGAUGGUUUGGACUGCACAAACAAUUGCUCCUGAUAGUGAAGGAGCCAUUGAUGGUCACCUUCGUGAAGCUGGACUAACAUUUCACCUUCUUAAAGAUGUUCCUGGGAUUGUUUCAAAGAACAUUACUAAAGCAUUGGUUGACGCUUUUGAGCCACUGGGAAUUUCUGAUUACAACUCAAUCUUUUGGAUUGCACAUCCCGGUGGACCUGCAAUUCUAGAUCAAGUAGAGCAAAAGUUAUCAUUGAAGCCUGAAAAGAUGAAUGCAACUAGAGAAGUGCUCAGUGAAUAUGGAAAUAUGUCAAGUGCAUGUGUUUUGUUUAUCUUAGAUGAAAUGAGAAAGAAAUCAACUAAAGAUGGGUUGAAGACAACUGGAGAAGGACUUGAAUGGGGUGUGUUAUUUGGUUUUGGACCAGGACUUACAAUUGAAACGGUUGUUUUGCGCAGUGUCGCUAUAUGAGAUGCUUAAUUAUUUUGUUUUCAUGUAUCAAUUUUCAAUUUGUUUAAUUUUUACGUAAGGAUGAAAUUUCAUCUAGUGUUCAACAUGUACCCUCAUAUUAAAUAAUACACUUGUGAUUCACUUUAUAUUUUUACAAUAGUUAUUUAUUUGACUAAAACUCUGUUUGGUAAAAAUAGCGUCUAACCAAUUAUGAAAGUCACAAUAAUGCCUCUUGAUUUCCUCGGAAAAUCUUACAGCCCACCAUUAAGGAAGAAAAGAAUAAUUAGGAUCUAAUUAUUUUAGCUUUAAACUCAAUCCCCAAAUGGCCUAACCCUAAUUCCCUUAGGACUUGUUUUAUUCAAUUUCUUAAAACUAUACAUACUUUAAUUAACUUAUGAUACAUGCAAAAAUAUUUCCAUAAAAUUUCUAAAAUAAACGAAAAAUAAUUGAAAUUUCCUCUAAGUUCUAUUUAAGAAAAUUUCACCAGAGUUUUUCAUGUUUUUACAAGUGUCCAGAAAAAGGUUUUCAAAUUUUUUUCUCAAAAUUAAACGUAGACGUAAUUUUAACUGAAGUCGUUUCCAUUGCUAAAUUGGUGCCAAAAAUUCAGAUAUUCUCGAAACUCAUUGGGAAUUUUUUUUUUCUCUUUAAAACAUCACACACCUAAUCAUAUGGAAAAAAUAAAUUUGCCAUCAAAUUGCAAGUUUAUCCUUUCACUUGAAAAUUUUCUUCUUUUACAAUUUUAUUUGCACACACAUAAACAUACAUAACAAAAUCACUAUUUUUGUAAAAUUCAUAAUUCAAUGAAUUUGUGUUCGAAUACCAUGAAUCAUAGGUCCAUUUUAAAGGUUUCAACAAAGGAAAUUUGAAAGAAAAAAAAAAUCCUCCUACCAAAGACAUAGGCUUCACGACCAAAAUAAAAAGGAAGGAAAAAAAAAAUUUGAGUUCAAAGUUCAUAUUCCUAAAUACAAGAAAACAAUCAUGGUGAAUCAAAUAAUCAAGAUCAAACAAAAUUCUCCAAUGAAUAAAAUCAAGUUCAAGUCUCAUUUUUCUUCAAAAGUUGUCAAAAUAAAUGUUUUGACAAGAAAAAUUUGAAGUUUUGACGAACAUCAAAAUAACAACUUAUCAAAAAUUAAACUUUUUACAUAAGUAUGAUCACAAUCUCUUGAUCUAUCAUCUAAAAUAAGUAAAAUUUGAAAAUCAAACUCUUUCAACAAAAAAGAAAUCAAACUUGAAAAGUCAUUUUAACUUAGAAUAUUUUCACCACUUCAUCAAAAUCUAUUUUUCUAGCAAAACCACUAAGAGGUUUUUCCUUCACAAACCAUAAAAUAAAUUUAUCAUAAACUUUAAAAUAAUAACUUUCGUAAAAUUUAGAACUUUUCUAUAAAUCUAUGAUCACUGCGUAUAGAUCUAUCAUUUUAUCAAAGUAAAACUUUGAAAACUCUACCUUAGCCUCACAAAAUUAAUUUGCUCCUAACACACUCUAUUCACAAUAUCAAUCUCACAUUUUAGCAUGUACUCUAUUUCUUCCACCCCAAGGCACCAUUUCCUUGCUUAAUUUGCUCGCGGAUGAAUUUUACGGUAGUUGUAACUUCCGUGAUAAAUUACCGAUAAAAUUUCUUCAUCCUUUUUGUGUAUAAAAUUUUAUUCAACCAUUUUUUUUUAUCUUUCAAAAAUUAUAAUGAAAUUGAAUUCUCAUUACACUCUAGAUUGAAUUCUCAUUAUACUCAAUGUUUAAAAUCCUGGUUUAAAGUUUGACAACAAUGGGAGUUUGACAAAAUCUAAACAUCACAAAUCUUUUGUCUGUUUUGUCAAAAUUUAACAAAAUAAAUAAUUUUAAGGCUUUCCAGCAUCCAGCGCAUAAAUUCACUCUUAACAUAGUCAUAUACGUCCAAACAAAUUUUUUAAAGCCAAAUAGCAGUGCACAUGUAGACUACAAGAAAAUAUGUGAUUUGCUACGACAAUAUUUGUAGCUAAUUUGGAAUAAACGUUUUAGCUAGAAAUUUUAUAGGCAAUUAUUUCCUCGUAAAACCGUAGUUAAAAGAAAUUUAUUCCUAGCAAAUCCUUUGUUAAUCAACAUCAAACUAGUGUUCAAAAUGUAUUAUCCGUAGCAAUAUAACUAUGAUUUAUCAUAGCAAAUACGCAACAAAGCUGUAGCAGUAAUACGAAGGACUUUACAUAGUAAUUUCUUAGCAAAUCUACAACAAUAAAACUAUGCAAUAAUCAUAACAAUUCCAUACCAAAUCUACAGAUAAAAUUUAACUUCAAAAUUUUAAUUAGAGUUAGCAAUUAGGAGAUUUUCACCUAAUUUUUUUAAAGAAAUAAAUAUAUUUAAAUCACUACCAACAUAUAUUGACAUCAAUCUAAGUCGACCAAAGCUUACUAAUAAGUAUACAAAUCCAAAAAUUCAUAUCAACUAAGAAAAGAAAGGAUAAGUUAUACUAAGUAGUAUAAAUCUUGAAUUGUGAUAAUUUUAUUACAGUGAUGAUCAUGACCGUAAGAUUCAGUGUAAUCAAGGGUGUGGUAAGUCCAUUUCAAUAAAACCAGUGAUGAUACAUCUCAGUUUUCAGGCUGCAAAAGGAAAAUAAAAAAAACAACAAGUUUAACAGGGGAAUGACAUGAAUCUCUUGACAAAGAACUCAAUAGUAUAUGAAAAAAAAAACCACAGCAAAGAAUACUGAUACAUUCUAAAGCAGGAGGCACAAGACUAAGAUCACCAGUUCAUCCAUAAUAACUCAGGCGUCGUGUUCAUUUUAAUUAUUCUAGGCAUUCCUUUCAGGAUUUUAGCACAAAUGUAUCAACCAUUUGCAUUUAUGAAAUAAUCUUUACACGGUUAACACAAACUAACAUGUAUAUAGCAUGCACUUGUUAAUUAUAUGCUCAAUGAGUUAGAUAUAACUAAGGAAUAAUUCCAUCACACAUAUAGAAGACACAUGACACGACUCUAUUAAUUAUCUGCUCAAGGAUCUCUUAAAAAUUGAAAGUGAAACCUCUUUUACGACGGAAGAUUAAACAACAUAACAAUUAGCAUAGAAAAGUAAUGAUGACCUUGACAUGGAGUUGCUACAUUGACUUCCUUGCAGACUUUUUACUUUCUUUGAACUCAUCAACUGCUUGUAGAGCAGCUACAACCAUCCCAUGAGAUUUUUAUUUAUUUCCGUCUUCAAGAAUCAAAAAUAUUGAAGAGCUUCUAAAUUGUUCCUGCAUCAAAAAACACAUUUAGAAGAGAGUGAGUGAGUGAGUGAGAAACAGAAGGAAUAAUAGUAAUUUUACCUUACAAAUGAUCUCACUAUGAAAUCCUCCAAAAAAUAGAAGAUAAUCUUGGGGAAGGUAAUAUGAAUAUUUGUAACGAUGAUCCAUGCACCUCAAUGAUGUUGAUGUCUGCUAUUGUUUUCAAACUAAAGCAUUUCAAAUUGUUGAAUGAAAUAAAUAAAAACUCCAAUUGAGGAGAAAAUGAAGAAUUUCAUAUACUUUAAGGAAGAAAAUGAAGAAUUUCAUAUACUUUAGGACCAAAUUAAACUUCAACCAAUUCAUUAAGCACAAAACCGACUAAAGAAAAGGGAGAAGAAAUAGCACAGUAAAAGUAACUACUAGUACUCACUCACUAGAAUAUACAAUUUCUCUAGAGAUCUUCAUCUUCAUUGUAGUUCCUCUAUAUAUGUCCUCACUAGUGCAACUGAACUUGUUCUCAAUAGCCAGAGCUUUACCAGGUGUAACUUGAUUCAUAUGUAUCCUGAUCUCAUAUCAUCACCAAAUCAAAUACAAAAAUCCAAAAUCAAACACAAAACAAGAAAUAGUCUAUAGUCUCUAUCAUUCUCACAAAAUCAAACACAAACCUAACAAUACACAUGUUAUACGAUGAAGCACAUAUACGAAUACAGACACGAUACAGACAUUGACACGCCGACACCACUUAUAAUUUGAGAAAAUCACAUAAUUGUGAUUAUAUGUGUCAGUGUCAUACAAGAUAGAUGUGCGACACUAGGACACGCCUAAUCCAAGGAGUGUACGUGCUUCAUAGAUAUUAUAUUACAAAAUUCAAAUAAAAAAAAUUAGUUGCUUAAUCAUAAUAGACUUAACAUCAUAUCAUAUUAAUACAAAAAUCCAUGAAAAUUCAAUACCUUAAAUUGCGGCGAAGAAGCGAAAUGAACAAGUGAGAUCGAUUAUGAUGUGAACAAUUCAAAUUGAGAUCGAGAAUCAGUGAGAGUGAUUGUGCAAAUGAGAAUGAUUCUGAUUAUGAGGAACAACGAUUCAAUCGGUUAGGGAUUCUAUGAUGAAGGAUUCUGAUUAGGAAUUCAAUUGAUUUUGUGGAUGAGAGUUUUCAAUGGAUGAAUUCAAGGAAAAACGAUGCAUGACUUUGAUGGAGAAUUAGUUUUCGAUUUCGUGGAUGAGAUUGAUUUUCUAAAUUAAAGUUUUCAAUGAAGAACGAUUAAGGGUUCAACCGCUUUGAAUGAGAAUGAGAUAUUUGUAAUUUUAAGCUAAAAAAGGUAACUACACUAAAAAAUUGUGUAUUCCGGUAAAAACAAGGGUUAAUUUUAAUUGAGAUUUGCUACCAACACAGUUGAUAGUAAAAUAUUGGUAGCAAAUACUACAUUUUCUUGUAGUGGUAAUCUAAAGAAUUUUGUAGUCAACAAACAAAUUAAACGAGAGACAGAUCUUUUAACAACAAACAGACAAUGUAAAAACAAGGGUAUUUUUAAUUGAGAUUUGCUACCAACACAGUUGAUAGUAAAAUAUUUGUAGCAAAUACUACAUUUUCUUGUAGUGGUAAUCUGAUGAAUUUUGUAGUCAACAAACAAAUUAAACGACAGACAGAUCUUUUAACAACAAACAGACAAUUCACAAAACAUAGCAUAAACAUUUUCAUUUUUCAGGGUUUGGAAAAAUAUAAUGAUAUUAUAUCUUCAUCACCGUAAAUGCAUACAAAAGCUUGUUUACAUUUUUAGGUGCUCGCGGUUGUUGAAAUUUGGCUAAAAUAUGGUUUUAGUCCUUGCAAAUAUGUCUCGUUUUAGUUUUAGUCCCUGUAAAAAAAAAAAAUUUGUUUUUGAUCCCUGCAAAAAAUUUUGUUUUUGAAAAUAGUCCCUGGAGGGACUAUUUUCAAAAACAAAAAUUUUUGCAGGGACCUUUUAUAAAACCAAAAUAUUUUGCAGGGACCAAAAACUACAAAAUUGGUUCAGUUAUAAUGUGUCACGUAUGCAAAUCAUCACAAAAGUGGGGUCAGAGACUAUUUUCAAAAACAAAAAAUUUUGCAGGGACCAAAAACAAAUUUUUUUUUUACAGGGACUAAAACCAAAACGAGGUAUAUUUGCAGGGACUAAAACAUAUUUUAGCCUUGAAAUUUUAAACUGAAUGUACAUCUUGUUUGUUUUUCUCAAAAAUCAAUAAAACUAAUUUUAAAAUUUUGACAGUGUCAAGACAUUUCAUAAAAUCAUUUCGCAACACAAAGAAAAUAUCAAAACAACUUUCUUAUAUAUUUCGCAACACAUACGAGAUUUCAGUAAAAUCUACUACCAAUAUGUACUCAAACAAUAAAAAAAGACUAAAACAAAUAAAAAAACUCUAUAAUUAGCCAAUGCUAAACUAUGUGUUUUACAACAUAUAUCUUAAUAAUAUUUUAUAACAAAGUUUUAAAAACUUUAAUUAUUUUAUAUUUUUUAUCUUAAUAUAUAACUAAUGAAAUAUUCGUGCAUUCGCAGGAUUCUUCGACAAUUGUUAGAUAAUGAACAUUGUACCAGAAUUUUGUUAUUUAGUUUAUACUUCCUCUGUCUUAAAAUAAGUGAUUUUUUUAACCGUUGUACACAUGCGAAUGUACAUCUUUGACUUUUAAUAUCUCUAAUUAUGUAUUAGUAAAAAUUAUAAAAUUUUGAUAUUUUAAAAAUAUUUAUCGAGACGAAUCCAACAUCUUACAUGCUGAAAUUUUUUGUUAUAUAUUAAUAAAAAAAAAUAUGAUUGAAGUAUGUUGUAUGAAUACUAUUUGUGGUACUAUAACAAGUAACUUAUUUUGGGCGGGAGGAAUAGUUAGGGUUUGACUAGGGUCAUCAAAGACAUGCUGGGCAUUUCCCACCAAACUCCAACAGGGUCAAGUCAUGGACAACGCAGCCAGCAAUUGUGUGUAUUAUUGAAUUGAAUAUAAGCAUAAUGUUAAAAGUUUGAGUCAAACACGUGAUGUUCAGCUACCCUCUAAUGCACUCUACUCUCAACAUAUAAAACCUUAUCACCACAAACAUAUUUGCACCACAACACUCUUCAACCCUUUCCUUUACUACAACAAGUACUAAAACUCAUUUUGUUCAAAUUUUAGUACUUAUAUUUGCAACUAAAGAUAUCAAAAUGGUGAGUGUGUCUGAAAUUCGUAAUGCUCAAAGAGCAGAAGGUCCUGCAACUAUUUUGGCCAUUGGUACUGCAAAUCCAGCAAAUUGUGUUGAACAAAGCACAUAUCCUGAUUUUUACUUUAAAAUCACAAAUAGUGAACACAAAACUGAACUUAAGGAGAAAUUUCAGCGCAUGUGUAAGUAUUCUUCUCCUCUAUUUAUUAUUAUUUUGAUAUACUUGAGUAUAAAAAUAUUUUUAGAUACUUUACUUUUACAUUUAUUUCUCUAUUAUUUUUUAAAGCGAAUUGGACUAAAUGACACUUUUUUUGGUUCGUUCCUUUUCAAAUAUAUAUAUUCUUAAUAUAUUUUUUUUUUUUUGAAGGAAUGUAUUCUUAAUAUAUGAUCACCAUAGUUAAUUACUUAAAAUACGGUACAUAUGUCAUUAUCUGUAGAAGUCGUGAUAUUCAUAUUGCCUAGCAAAUUGAUAAACAUUAUUUACAUUAAAAGAUCAAUUAUUUUUUCGUCAAAAAAAUAAAUAAAGAGAAUAGUCAUUAUGUGAUUGGUUUUGUAUUAAUUACCCAAAAAUUAAUGUGCUAAUGUCAUUUCAUUAUAACCACUUCAGGUGAUAAAUCUAUGAUCAAGAGGAGAUACAUGUAUCUAACAGAGGAGAUUUUGAAAGAAAAUCCUAGUGUUUGUGAAUACAUGGCACCUUCAUUGGAUGCAAGGCAAGACAUGGUGGUGGUAGAGGUACCUAGACUAGGAAAGGAGGCUGCAGUGAAGGCUAUAAAAGAAUGGGGUCAACCAAAGUCAAAGAUUACUCACUUAAUCGUUUGCACCACAAGUGGUGUAGACAUGCCUGGAGCUGAUUAUCAACUCACAAAACUCUUGGGCCUUCGUCCAUAUGUGAAAAGGUAUAUGAUGUACCAACAAGGGUGUUUUGCAGGUGGCACGGUGCUUCGUUUGGCCAAAGAUUUGGCUGAGAACAACAAAGGUGCUCGUGUGUUGGUUGUUUGUUCUGAAGUCACCGCUGUCACAUUUCGUGGCCCCAGUGAUACUCACUUGGACAGCCUUGUUGGGCAAGCAUUGUUUGGAGAUGGAGCUGCUGCUCUUAUUGUUGGUUCUGACCCAGUACCAGAAAUUGAGAAACCUAUAUUUGAGAUGGUUUGGACUGCACAAACAAUUGCUCCUGAUAGUGAAGGAGCCAUUGAUGGUCACCUUCGUGAAGCUGGACUAACAUUUCACCUUCUUAAAGAUGUUCCUGGGAUUGUCUCAAAGAACAUUACUAAAGCAUUGGUUGAGGCUUUCGAGCCAUUGGGAAUUUCUGAUUACAACUCAAUCUUUUGGAUUGCACAUCCCGGUGGACCUGCAAUUCUAGAUCAAGUAGAGCAAAAGUUAGCCUUAAAGCCUGAAAAGAUGAAUGCAACUAGAGAAGUGCUCAGUGAAUAUGGAAAUAUGUCAAGUGCAUGUGUUUUGUUUAUCUUAGAUGAAAUGAGAAAGAAAUCAACUCAAAACGGAUUGAAGACAACGGGAGAAGGACUUGAGUGGGGUGUAUUAUUUGGUUUUGGACCAGGACUUACCAUUGAAACAGUUGUUUUGCGUAGUGUGACCAUAUGAGAUGUUUAAUAUUUUAUUUUCAUUUAUCGAUUUAUAAUUUGUUUAUCUUUUAUGUAUGGAUGUAAUUUCAUCUAGUGUUUAACAUGUACUAUCAUAUUAAAAUAAGAGAAUUGUGAUUACCUUUAUAUUCUAACAAUGGUUAUAUAUUUUACAAAACAUCAUUUAUAAUUAAAAACAAAGUCAUGUUAACAUAUUAAAGAUGUUGAAGGUGAUAAAAAUCUGAAUAAAGCCAAAAAAAAACAUGCAGAAGCAAUAAGAGAAAGAAAAGGGAAAAUAAUUUGGAUUAUAGUCACUGCUCAUUGUACUUCGCUCGACGUGAUCUUUGAUUGAUUGAUAAGAUUAGGUUGGCACUAACGUGUUUGUCUUUCCGCUUUUAUUAUCAAUGAAUGAUAAAAAUAGUAAAAGAUAAUUAGGUGAAGGGUAAAAUUGAAAGAAAAAUAUGUCAUAACAAUAUUCUCUGUAUAAGGUCAUAAUAAGGUUUUUUAUAGUGUCUAAUAGUAUUCCAAUUAUUUUGAAUUAUCCAUCCCAUUAUUGUUGAUUUUUCAUAUUUUAAUAGAAUUUAGCUAAUUUUAUAAAUGAUAAUUUAAAUAGAUAAUAAAAUAGGUUAAAUAAGAAAGUAGCUUUAAGACUCCAUGAUACAUCAGUGGAAGUUUAUUUUAAUAUCCCUACAAUUUAAUCAAUUAAAAUUGCGGGGCUCCUUCAAGAUGAGUCAAAACCCUAAAUUCAUAAUUAAAGUUUAUUAAAAGGAUUUAAUUAAGAAAAUAAGCAAUUUACUACAGUUAUUAUCAGACAUAAGUAGGGUUAUCUAUCCUAUAAUUUAUCUAUAGAUCAGUUUUCAAGAUCACCGAUUCGGAUUCUCAUAUACAAAUUAAAUCUAACAAUCGAAACAUAAACUAAAUGAAAAAAUUUAUCAAUUGAAUCCAACAAAUAAGAAUGGGUUCAUCGUAGAAUCCUAAUCAAAGAGGUUUAGUUGCACAUGACAACCGACAUCAUUACAAAACAAUUGAAAAACAUACCCUAGAGAGAACAAGAGGAGGAUGGAGAUCUUAUACCUUGAAACUCCUUAUGUUUGACUCUUGCCUUGUACCACUAGCUUUCUCAAUGCUUUUCGGAAUGAAUAAAAAUGUGUGCAAGAGUCUCUGUUUAUAGUACAUCAUUACUUAGGGGUUAAGAGGUGAAAAUUUGGGUUUUCCACUAAAAACAACUUGGAAAACAAGCAAAAGUCACCUCCUGUCUGUCAACCAAGUGUGGGGCGCAUGAAGUGAGGCGCAUGGGGCAUCAAGGAAUGUUGUCUCAUGCGCAGCGGCGCAUGGCCCAUGCAUAGGGGCGCAUGAAGCAGUGCCUUCAAUGCGAAUUUUGCAUUUUCAUCCCUUUUUUGAUCCCUUUUUCUUCAUCUUGUAUUGUCUUCAAAAAUCUUCUAAGAACCAUUUAUGUUCAAUCCUCAUAUCCUUGAUCCUUCACUUGAUGUUUAUUUUUGCCGAUUUACAUGAUUUAUCACUAAAAAGACUCAAAACACCUAUGGAGUUGCAUGCUAUAAGAUAAAAGUGAAUUACAACGACUCAAAUGAAAACAAUACAAAUAGUUCCUUAGACCAUUAACAACUUCUCUAAAUUAUUUGCCUUCAAAUGCAAAGAAAAUAAUUAAAAAACUAGCCUUAAUUUUCAUAUGAUGCUCCGUCAUCACAUGCAUAAAUUAUAUGCCUAAGAAUUUCCAUAUGCCAAGCACGUGUUGGGCCAUGAAUAAUUGCAACUUGUGAUUGGAGCACACCAAAUGUCUGUUCCAGGUCUUUUCUUGCCGAUUCUUGAUUUUGAGCAAAUAGUUUUCUUUUUUCUCCCUGCGACAUUGGAAUGGUCUUGACAAAUGUAGCUCACUCGAAAUAUAUAUCGUCUGCUAGAUGGUACCCCCAUAUUAUAUGGAGUUCUACUGACUAUAUAUUGUAUUGUGGGUGCCUGUCCUUCCAAAAUAUCGUUAAACAUGUUGGAUUGGUUUAACACAUUAAUGUCAUUGUUUGAACCUGCUGCAAUGCCAAAAAAUGCAUGUCAAAUCCACAAGUCUUGUGAUGCCGCUGCUUCAAGCAUGAUCGUGGGUUUUACCAUGAUCACCUCGACAAAACUGGCAUGUCCAAGCAACCAGGCACUAUUUCCAUUCCCAAUGCAUACAAUCAAUGUAACCUAAAAUACCUAGAAAGCCGCAUAACUCACCUAUUUGUAAUAAGUUAUCAACAUCAUUGUUAUUUGCCCUUCGUACGUACUCAACCCCAAAUACCUUGUUCACACCUUUUACAAAUUUGUCUAAGCAUUCAACCGGCGUGUUUUCUCCAAUUUGAACAUAUUCAUCUACAAUAUCAACAUGAGAUUCAUAUACCAGCAUAUGAAUAGUAGCAGUAAAUUUCUACAAUGGUAAAAGAUAAAUUUUAAAAGUUGAAUCAAGCCUAAUUUGAAAAUAAUCAUUAUAAUGUCCAAGAAAUGUUAAAAUUAUAAGAGAUAAAAUUGUGAGAAAAAAAGUUGAGUGAAAUAUUUUUUGAAUGAACACAAUUUAUAAGUAAAAAAAGAUGGUAAAGAAAUAAAAGAAGAUGUGAUUUGUACAUAACAUUUUUUAUGUAUAAAAUGGUAACAUGUUUAAGCAUUUUUUAAUCAAGUGACUAUUACUUCACCAAGUGACGGGGAUUACAUGUUGGAGUACUCCAUUCAAAAUUAAUGUAAAAUUCCAUUCUUUUAUGAUGAUAGGUAAUGUACGUUAUAAAAAAAAAAAGCAACCGUUGGAGUUGCUUUAUAUAUUUAUUUGAUAGUUAAAGUCGACAUUUGAAGUCAACUUUAACUAUCAAGCAAAGAUGUCAACGAAUUUGCCCCGAUAUUUUAAUAGAUAGUUUACAAAAUAAUUGAAAAAAUGGUUAGACCAAGGAGGGUCUUCAAAGACAUGCGGGGUAUCUCCCACCUAACUCAAAAAUGAUCAAUCAUGGAUAUUAGAAACACACCAUUAUUGAAUAUAUAUAAAAUAGCAUCUGCAUAAUGCAAGUGUUUUAGUCAAACACGUGAUGUUCAGCUACCCUCCAAUAUCCCCACUCAUGCUCAGCUCCCAUCAUAUAAAAACCAUCUCACCCAAACAUCUUUGCACCACAACACACCAACACACUUUAACCCAUUCCUUUUCUACAACAAGUACUGAAAACUCAUUGUGUUCAAAUUUCAGUACUUCAUUUUAUACCAAAGAUAUAUCAAGAAUAUGGUGAGUGUGUCUGAAAUUCGUAAGGCUCAAAGAGCAGAAGGUCCUGCAACCAUUUUGGCCAUUGGUACUGCAAAUCCAGCAAAUUGUGUUGAACAAAGCACAUAUCCUGAUUUUUACUUUAAAAUUACAAAUAGUGAACACAAAGUUGAACUCAAAGAGAAAUUUCAGCGCAUGUGUAAGUAUUCUUCUCCUCUAUUUAUUAUUUUGAUAUACUUGAGUAUAUAAAUAUUUUUAGAUACUUUUCGUUUACAUUUAUCUCUAGUAUUUUUUAAUGUGAUGACGAUAGUUAAAUUACUAAAAAUACGGUACAAAUGUCAUUAUUUGUAGAAAUCGCUCAUGAUAUUAGUAUUGCCAACCAUAUUUAUAUACAUUACUUGCAUUAAGAAAUCAAUUAUUAUUUGUCCAAAAAAUAGAGACCAGUCAUUAUCUGAUUGGUUAUAUAGUAUAUAUUACACAAAAAUUGAUGUGCUAAUGCCAUUUCAUUAUAACUACUUCAGGUGAUAAAUCUAUGAUCAAGAGGAGAUACAUGUAUCUAACAGAAGAAAUUUUGAAAGAAAAUCCUAGUGUUUGUGAAUACAUGGCCCCUUCAUUGGAUGCUAGGCAAGACAUGGUGGUGGUAGAGGUACCUAGACUAGGGAAGGAGGCUGCAGUGAAGGCUAUAAAAGAAUGGGGUCAACCAAAGUCAAAGAUUACUCACUUAAUCGUUUGCACCACAAGUGGUGUUGACAUGCCUGGAGCAGAUUAUCAACUCACCAAACUAUUAGGUCUUCGCCCAUAUGUGAAAAGAUACAUGAUGUACCAACAAGGGUGCUUUGCAGGUGGCACGGUGCUCCGUUUGGCUAAAGAUUUGGCUGAGAACAACAAAGGUGCUCGUGUGUUGGUUGUUUGUUCUGAAGUCACCGCUGUCACAUUUCGUGGUCCUAGUGAUACUCACUUAGACAGCCUUGUUGGACAAGCACUAUUUGGAGAUGGAGCGGCUGCUCUUAUUGUUGGCUCUGACCCAGUACCAGAAAUAGAGAAACCUAUAUUUGAGAUGGUUUGGACUGCACAAACAAUUGCUCCUGAUAGUGAAGGAGCCAUUGAUGGUCACCUUCGUGAAGCUGGACUAACAUUUCACCUUCUUAAAGAUGUUCCUGGGAUUGUUUCAAAGAACAUUACUAAAGCAUUGGUUGAGGCUUUCGAGCCAUUGGGAAUUUCUGAUUACAACUCAAUCUUUUGGAUUGCACAUCCCGGUGGACCUGCAAUUCUAGAUCAAGUGGAGCAAAAGUUAGCCUUAAAGCCUGAAAAGAUGAAUGCAACUAGAGAAGUGCUCAGUGAAUAUGGAAAUAUGUCAAGUGCGUGUGUUUUGUUUAUCUUAGAU